This 617-nucleotide long non-coding RNA is filed under the name Anas zonorhyncha (Eastern spot-billed duck). RNAcentral describes it as "lncRNA (ENSAZOG00000018490.1)". Lineage: Eukaryota; Metazoa; Chordata; Aves; Anseriformes; Anatidae. The record is from RNAcentral.
CAGCUCCCUGCCCUUUAAUUCAAUCACACUACUUGGAAAUAAUGAAAGUUGGGUGACGAUUCUCCCUGAUCCAAUUUGCCCGUGCUUUUAAGCCUUUUUAACUGAUCAUAUACCUUAGGCAUAAAUUGAGAUAGUGUGGUUCCCCACCGCCCCCCUCCUUCCCCGGAUUUUUUUUUCUUUUUUUUUUUUUUAUUGUGUGCGCGCUUGGUUAGGGAGAGAAACCUUGAUGUCAUAGAGAAACCUGUUUUGUAAGAGCGUUACACGCUCAAUUUAACAACAAGUCUACCCCCCGAAGUGCAUGAAAUGCUAUAAAGGACUGGGACAUUAGCAGACUCGGGCACCCUGUAAAAUAGAGAAAGAAAGCAGGACAAUUGCUCUGAGUCAUGACUGAUGCAAUCUGGAUACUGCAAGGCUCUCUUCUGCUCCUCUGAAGCUCCAAAACUUUGUGCUUAGAGCGGCAGAGCCAGAGGUCAGCAGCACCACGGGGCCAGGUGAUGCUUGCAGUGCUUAUCCCCUGGCUGUUGCAGCCGCAUCCUGUGCAUCACUGAGAGGCAAUGUCAGCGGGAAGGUGAGCAGAGAGAGAGAAGGUGGAAACUCUCCGGCUUCUCACAAGUCCC